RNAcentral lists this long non-coding RNA (301 nucleotides) under Brassica napus (rape). Its description in RNAcentral is "long non-coding RNA (BNAP_LNC025074)". Lineage: Eukaryota; Viridiplantae; Streptophyta; Magnoliopsida; Brassicales; Brassicaceae. The record is from RNAcentral.
GAGUGGGUUAAAGUGAACUUGAGAUAUGAGGUUCAGCUAGAAAAAAUUUAACCUCAUUUCUAACAAAUAACUAAAGUACCAAGUGAAAUUCCUUUUUUGGGGGUCAACUGACCCCCACUCUACCGAAGAGCUCUGUUAGUGGAUGUCCACUACGUUCAACUGCAUCCACACCAAUCAUAUAUAACCAGUAAAUGAAAUAAAAUGAGCUUAAGAAAAAAGUAUGAGAAAUUUUGAACAUGUGCUAAUUGUAGAAUAAGAGCUAAAUUGAAAAUGAUGUUAUAACAAAGGAUGAUGAUCCUAA